GAUGAACGCUGGCGGCGUGCUUAACACAUGCAAGUCAAACGAUGAAGCCCAGCUUGCUGGGUGGAUUAGUGGCGAACGGGUGAGUAACACGUGAGUAACCUGCCCUUGACUCUGGGAUAAGCCUGGGAAACUGGGUCUAAUACUGGAUAUGACUUCUCAUCGCAUGGUGGGGGGUGGAAAGAUUUAUUGGUCUUGGAUGGACUCGCGGCCUAUCAGCUUGUUGGUGAGGUAAUGGCUCACCAAGGCGACGACGGGUAGCCGGCCUGAGAGGGUGACCGGCCACACUGGGACUGAGACACGGCCCAGACUCCUACGGGAGGCAGCAGUGGGGAAUAUUGCACAAUGGGCGCAAGCCUGAUGCAGCGACGCCGCGUGAGGGAUGACGGCCUUCGGGUUGUAAACCUCUUUCAGUAGGGAAGAAGCGAGAGUGACGGUACCUGCAGAAGAAGCGCCGGCUAACUACGUG
This 466-nucleotide ribosomal RNA is filed under the name uncultured bacterium. RNAcentral describes it as "partial 16S ribosomal RNA". It matches the Rfam family "Bacterial small subunit ribosomal RNA", at positions 28 to 507 of the family's 1533-position model. The record is from RNAcentral.